GAAAGCCCAGUUUGGUCGAGGACUGAGGCUGGAGGAUAACAAUAGGACUCAAGGUAGCGCCUGUCGCUGAUUGGAUGACGAUGCUAAGCCUUGGAGGGACGGGAGAAAGGACAUCACUCACCUGACCCACAAGAAGUGACACAUAGGGAUACCAUCUGGUCAGUCAGAUCUGCCUCAAGCGUAGAAGAACUAAUCCAUGGAUGAAGGUCAAGGGCCAGCAGACAUCAGAGCAUCAAGGCCAGGAAUCAGCAAAUCAACCUGCAAGGGAAGAGAGAGGAGACGUUUAUUGCUUUGAAGACCAGAGAAGGGGUAGGGGGGUGGGGGGAAUGGAUGUCAUGUCUCACACUGUGGGUUCACUGCACAUGUUCUCUCUAUAAGCAAAGGUCUCUUCAGCUUAUUAGAGAACGGGGUAACAGACAGACUCUUUGUGUAAUUAAUGUAGCCUAGUUCUAAUGAGACAGACUGUGAUGGACACUUAAAGCUCAGUUCAGUAUGUUCAGUCAAGGCCCACAAUUAAUGCUAUUUAAGAUUUAAAUGCAGGUAAAAUUUGAUUCGUAAAUAAUAAUAAUAACAAUAAUAAUAAAAAUAAUAGACAGACUAACAUUAUUGGGAAGUUGCGAGAAAAAUGAAUUUUCAUUCUAUUCAUCAGAGAAUCUUUAUAAAAAAUAUGGUAUCACAAACAUAUUAAGCAACACAACUGUUUUUAACAUUGAUAAUAAUAAGAAAUGUUUAUUGAGCAGCAAAUCAGUAUAUUAGAAUGAUUUCUAUAGGAUCAUGUGAGACUCAAGUCUGGCGUAAUGAUGCUGAAAAUUUUGCUAUCAGGAAUAAGUUACAUUUUAAAAUAUUAAAAUAGAAAAGAGUUAAAUUUGUAAUAAUAUUUCACAAUGUGACUGUUUUUACUGCAUUUUUUUUUUUUUUAAUCAAAUGAAUGCAGCCUUGUUGAGCACAGGAGACGACUUUCAAAAACAGUUAAAAAUCUUAUGAUCUAAUUUUUUUUUUGUUGUAAAUUUUACUCAGUCAGGUAUAACCAGCUAGAGUCCGACAAUGAGCUCCAAAUAAUAAAAAAAAAAAAAAAACAGUAUUACCUUAGUUUGGUUAGUAAAUUUAUUUGGAAAAUGUACAAUUAUAUGGUUUAAGCCAACUCUAAUAAUGACAAAUACAGUCAAACCAAAAUUUAUUCAGACCCCUUGAACAUUUCAUUCAUUAAUACAGUUUAUUCACUAUAGUUUAAAAAAUGGUAAUAAAAUAUGACAAGAUCUCAGAGUUAAACUGUGUCAGAAAAAAAAAAAAAAAAAAAAAGGUCUUAAUUAUGUCAGAUAACCAGAGGUGUAAAGUACUUGAGUAAAUGUAAUUAGUUACUGUACUUAAGUAUCUUUUUGGCUACUUUGUAGUUGUACUGAGUAUCAAAGAUAUUGGCAACUUUUACUCUCUACUUAACUACAUUUUUGAGCAAGUAAAUGUACUUUUUACUCCACUACAUUUGUAAUGAGUAAUGCAAUUACAAAUUACAUUUUUCAUGGCAGCUAACUUUUUUUGAAGGUACUAUAUCUUGAGCAUUUUGCCUUUACUCACCCAAAAUUUGUCAACAAGGAUACUUUACAUGAAAGUGAGUGCAUUAGCAGGUAGUUGCUGAUCGAAGAUGUUUUAUUUAUUAGAUGAGGAAAUGACUGCAGCUGGUGAUGAGGCUCAAACCAGCACAUAAUGUAGACUUUAACUAUUUAAUUUUACUUAACAUUGUUUUAUUUAUCCACUAUAUUGACCGUUUUGAAAGAUAUUGGUUUACUUAUGGCCUUUCUGUGCACUUAAGCUUAACUGAGACUUGAGAGUUUGUAGACGUUUAAAAGGUUGUUGUGUCGACCUUGAUUUAUUGCAACAUUGAGGUGUUCAGUUUUAUUUUGAUUUUAGAAAAUAAACUUGAUUUCUCAUCUUACAAAUCAAUUGUUUCUUAUUUUCACUGGCAUGUCUCUCAGGACUAGAGCAUCUCUGAGCCUACAUUCAGCAUGAGUAAAAUACUUAAGUACUGUUAAAAUCAGAUACUCUAAGACUUUUACUCAAGUCGUAUUGGAAUUGGAUACUUGUAACUUGUAGUUGAGUCAUUUUCGAUGUAUGGUAUCAGUACUUUUACUCAAGUUUGGUUUUCAGGUACUCUUUACACCUCUGCAGAUAACACUUAAGCAAAACACGGUCAGGUCAAAGAGUCUGAAUAAUUUUUGGUUCCAAAUUUUUAUCAAUUUUACUGUUAGUCCACUGUAUGAAGAAUUUUUGGGUAUAAUGUGUCACAGUUUACUUUAUUUUGCUAUCCUCACUUACAUAAAUGAACUAUAGUGUCCUGCACCCACUAGUAAAAAUAUAUCAAAAAUGUCUGAAUAAUUUUUGGUUUGACUGUAUAAAGAAUGGCAACAUAAUACAUCGUUUUACAGAGUUGUAAGAAUGAUAAUAUGUACCUUGCUCAUGUAAGUUACAUGAGCGAUUAAACCAUCUACUCUGUUGUGACUGUAUCUUCUCGCAACUUUCACCGCAGUUGAAAUUGAUCUGGGAUGCUUAAGGUUUUUGUUUUUCUCCAGAACUCAUAUGUGGAAUAUGCUUCACAUAAAGCCACCAAAAUGAAAGUACAAGAAACAAAAGCAUAUUUCUUCAUAUUUUUUGAGACAGAUGCUGUUUCAACAAGUGAAAGAGACUAGCUCAUCUGGCACAAUUCCUUGCAUUGUUUAUCACAAAAAUGCAAGGAAUAAACAGUUAAAUGAAGGGCAAAAAUGCAUGUAAUAUUAUAUUCAUGAAAAUCUAAAGGCUGGAAAAAAGGCCACUAAAAUCCAUAAAUUUCUCUCCACUCUAACUACACUCAGCCUUCAAACAAACCUGACAACCUCCUGACUGGACUUUUAUUCCCAACGAGAGGCCGGACACAAGCUUUGAUACUACCUAGAUAACAUACUUUUUUGAAGGCCUGAUUAUCAUUCAUGGAUUCACCUAAUCGGGGCCUAAUUGAGAGCUAUUUGCCGAGUGACACAGUUUUGCAUAUCCUCUUCUCAUUUGCAGGAGAGAGAGAGAGAGAGAAAGAGAGAGAGUGUGUGUGUGUGUGUAUGUGACAGAAGGAGAAGAGAGUGAGGAGUAUUAAUUCCCUAUGGAGACGGGGAUCUGGACAAUGGAUGGUUUGGAGAUAGCAUGAGGGGUUUGGGCGGACCUCCUGGUGAGCUGUAAAGCACAAACAACUCAGUGUUUCAGGAGAUAACAGAGAGAAAGCCAGUCUCAGCAAUCACUAUCAUCUACUCAAGACCAAAAUCACGGAACAACACACCAUACAAGACCACACUACUCUACAGAGUGAAGCAGAGCCUCAGCUUAGCUGCAUCAAUGCAAACAUCCACUAAACACAAAUAUAGCUCACCUAAAGGUUUACAGUAGAUAUUAGAUAUUUAGAGGGAUAAAGUGCAGAGAUAUGUAUAAAGGCAUAAUGUAAACAUGCAUUCUCAUUCUCUAAAAAAUAUCAUGUAACAUCAAAGAGUGCCUCGCGUUGUCCUGAUUCAGUAUCUGCUGUCAGAUGAGAUGUUGUCAGGCUAUAUUUUAGUAUCAUUAUUUUAAUGUUUUUCCAUAACUUGCUCGGAAAUAAAAAGUCUCUUACCUCAGAAAAACAAAAUUUCUUGUUCUGUCAGACGUUAUACUGUGCUCACUAUGGGACGUCAUGUGCUAAAGGGUUAGUUCACCCAAAAAUGAAAUUUCUGUUAUUAAUUACUCAUCUUAAUGUUGUUCCAAACCCAUAAGACUUUCAUUCAUCUUCAGAACACAAAUUAAAAUAUUUUUGAUGAAAUCCGAGAGGUGUUCUGAUGUUGAACGUGGAAGCGCUGAACAUAAACAGCGUAGGAGAAUGACAGGGCAGAGAAGAAAUUGUUGAAUAAAGUCGUUAUUUUUGUUUUGUUUUGGCGCACAAAAAGUAUUCUUUUCGCUUCAUAACAUUAAGGUUGAACAACUGUAGUCAUGUUGACUAUUUUAACAAUGUUUUUACUACUUUUUUGGACCUUAAAUGUGGUAAUUGCGUUGCUUUCUAUCGGGGAUAUAUAAAAAAUAAAUAAAAAAUCUAGGAUUUCAUCAAAAAUAUCUUAAUUUGUGUUCCGAAGAUGAACGAACCAAACAUGAACCUUAUACUGUAUUAGUGGUAUUCUUACAAUUUGUAUAUUAAAUAAAGUGGGACGGUACUUACAUGGUAGUGGGACAUGUGUGUGUGUGUAGAUGUUAUAUUGAUAUAGUAUUGGUUAUAUUGAUAUAGUA
Molecule: long non-coding RNA, 4263 nt
Organism: Ctenopharyngodon idella (grass carp)
Lineage: Eukaryota; Metazoa; Chordata; Actinopteri; Cypriniformes; Xenocyprididae
Exons: 3
Source: RefSeq, a predicted model, not a curated record